UCUGUCUCUUAUUAGCUGUGUGAUUGUGGGCAGGGUAAGCCUCUCGUCCUCGCUGCAAAAUGAGCUCCUCACAGCACCUAUCACUAGCGCAAUUGUGAGCAUUAAAUAAAAUAACAUAGGCAGCAGCACUCAGGUUCGCCUCCCAGUCCAAGUACACUAAGUGGUAGUUACCACGGCGGGAGGGGCGGGGCGCUGUCCAUGCACGCGCAUGCGCGUCCCCGCGUGCGCGCGCUUCAGGUAAGAGGGCCGAGCAGGUCCGCGUUCGGAGGCCUGUCUGGGGGCUCUCUGGUGCGACGACUGUGGUGGCGUUUUUCAUGGGGAAGCUCUCGGCAGAGUUCUGGGGCCAUGCGGCGGUCUCCCGAGUGUCGCUGUCUGCAGUUCGCCGGAGGCGAGCGUUUCCGGGUCGGUCGGUGACCUUGGCUCGGCAGCCGGGCCGUGCGGCCUGCGCUGCCCGCGGGUGUCGGCCGCAGGCCCGGCCCAAGCGUUCUGGGGGCCACGGGCCGGGGCGGCCGGGGGUUCCAGAGGACCGGGCGAGCGGGGGCCGAGGGCCGUGGGUCGCCAGCGAAGGCCGCCGUCCUCGGCCUCUGCUGCUUGCUCGGUUCCCGGCCGUGGGAACCUGGAAGAAGCUGCUGCUGUUAAGGAGACCCAGGGAGAGACGGGGUCUUACUCUUUCUCAGGCUGGUCUUGAACUCCUGAACUCAAGCGAUUCUCCUGCCUUUGCCUCCCAGAGUGCUGCGAGUAGGCGUGAGCCACUAUACCCGGUCACGUGUACAUAUAUAUUUUUAAAAGAGAUGGGAUCUCGCUCUUGCUCAGGCUGGUUUCGAACUCCUGACCUCGAGCAAUCCACCCACCUCAGCCUCCCAGAGUACUAGGAUUACAUGCGUGAGCCACCGCGCCUGGCCUGCUUCAUUUCUUUUAUGUAAGAAAUUAAGUUUUAAUCUUUUGGUCCCCAGGGUAAUCACAUUAUCAAAAUGAGAAAAGGGAAUAUUUGGGAGGAGGGACACCUGGUAAGGAUAUUACUAGGAUAAUCCUACAAAAAGAGGGUAUUUGAUUACCUCUGCUCUCAGGCAUUGUGAAGAGGAGUUAGAAGGGAAUGGGGUAAAUGCCUGACAGUCUGAGAUAAAAACUAGUGGUUCUCCUGUUCUUGACUUCAGGGCUACAGGGAGGCUGAGUAAAAACUUGGGUUUACAUUUCAUAUAUUCAGUAAGAGUUAAAUAUUCUAUUUUCUUAAUUUGUUAUGUAGCCCUUUUCCUUGUUUAG
This 1260-nucleotide long non-coding RNA is filed under the name Microcebus murinus (gray mouse lemur). RNAcentral describes it as "lncRNA (ENSMICG00000048467.1)". The record is from RNAcentral. Lineage: Eukaryota; Metazoa; Chordata; Mammalia; Primates; Cheirogaleidae.